Molecule: ribosomal RNA, 268 nt
Filed under: uncultured bacterium
Lineage: Bacteria
Description: partial 16S ribosomal RNA
Rfam family: Bacterial small subunit ribosomal RNA
Source: RNAcentral
GACGAACCGUGCGAACGUUGUUCGGAAUCACUGGGCUUAAAGGGCGCGUAGGCGGGCUGUCAAGUCUGGGGUGAAAUCCCGCGGCUCAACCGUGGAACUGCCUUAGAUACUGACGGCCUCGAGGAAGGUAGGGCAUGCGGAACUGUAGGUGGAGCGGUGAAAUGCGUUGAUAUCUACAGGAACUCCGGUGGCGAAAGCGGCGUGCUGGACCUUUCUGACGCUGAGGCGCGAAAGCUAGGGGAGCAACGGGAUUAAGAUACCCAGUACG